UUUCCAGCAGAGGAUUUCCAGUUUCAGUCUCAGAGCCCCAAAAGCACAAGCACACACAUAUACAUGUGUGGCUACACAUAUACAAACACAAGUGUGAGCACACACACACACACACACACACACACACACACACACACACACACACACACACUGGAAACGGAUGAACAAAGCAAUUCAGCAUGCCCAGGAUUAUUCUUCAUCCUCCACUUGACGUUUAAAGAGACUCCUGUCCACUGGCUACUGGAUCCUGGAAUAGACACACUGAUAGGCAGUAGCUGAAGUGGACAGCACUGCAAAGUGGCCUGAUCAGAUUCCUCAGCCUCUAGGUCACUGGGCAGAACGGCGCCUGGCCUGGCUGGAGCCUCUGUUCCUCUCAUGUGACCUUUAGAGGUGUGACCAGUGGAUCUGCACUUGUGACUCUGGAAGCCUGUGCUGUGAGUGUCUGGGUAUGCUGCACACAGGCAAAGUAUAUGCUGGGCAUUCACUAACAACUAGACAAACUAGCAGCAAGUGCUCACAAAUACUUCUCCUUUCCUGUAUGCCCCCCCCUCUUUCCUUUCUUCAGAGACCCUGGUACUUGUGUUCCUCUGAGAAAGAAUAGAUGGGUAGGUGGGUGAGGUGCUUGUGUCAAACUGGAAAAUAUUCACCUUUAAAAUAAAGCUACUUUGGCCAUUAUGA
Molecule: non-coding RNA, 678 nt
Organism: Cricetulus griseus (Chinese hamster)
Lineage: Eukaryota; Metazoa; Chordata; Mammalia; Rodentia; Cricetidae
Source: RefSeq, a predicted model, not a curated record